GCUGGCGUAGCUCAGUUGGUAGAGCAGCUGAUUUGUAAUCAGCAGGUCGUGGGUUCGAGUCCCUCCGCCAGCUCCA
This 76-nucleotide transfer RNA is filed under the name Candidatus Sumerlaeota bacterium. Its description in RNAcentral is "tRNA-Thr". It matches the Rfam family "tRNA". Rfam says of the family: Transfer RNA (tRNA) molecules are approximately 80 nucleotides in length. Their secondary structure includes four short double-helical elements and three loops (D, anti-codon, and T loops). Lineage: Bacteria; Candidatus Sumerlaeota. The record is from RNAcentral.